CCUACGGGCGGCAGCAGUGGGGAAUAUUGCGCAAUGGGGGCAACCCUGACGCAGCCAUGCCGCGUGAAUGAAGAAGGCCUUCGGGUUGUAAAGUUCUUUCGGUGAUGAGGAAGGUUGGUGUGUUAAUAGCAUGCCAAAUUGACGUUAAAUACAGAAGAAGCACCGGCUAACUCCGUGCCAGCAGCCGCGGUAAUACGGGGGGUGCGAGCGUUAAUCGGAAUAACUGGGCGUAAAGGGCACGUAGGCGGACCUUUAAGUGAGGUGUGAAAUCCCCGGGCUUAACCUGGGAAUUGCAUUUCAUACUGGGGGUCUGGAGUACUUUAGGGAGGGGUAGAAUUCCACGUGUAGCGGUGAAAUGCGUAGAGAUGUGGAGGAAUACUGAAGGCGAAGGCAGCCCCUUGGGGAUGUACUGACGCUGAUGUGCGAAAGCGUGGGGAGCAAACAGGAUUAGAUACCCUAGUAGUC
Molecule: ribosomal RNA, 465 nt
Filed under: uncultured Aggregatibacter sp.
Lineage: Bacteria; Pseudomonadati; Pseudomonadota; Gammaproteobacteria; Pasteurellales; Pasteurellaceae
Description: bacterial SSU rRNA
Rfam family: Bacterial small subunit ribosomal RNA
Source: RNAcentral